Molecule: long non-coding RNA, 2274 nt
Organism: Scaptodrosophila lebanonensis
Lineage: Eukaryota; Metazoa; Arthropoda; Insecta; Diptera; Drosophilidae
Exons: 5
Source: RefSeq, a predicted model, not a curated record
UCACCUGGAGUUUGCGCCAGUUCAUCCACCGCUUCUACGCCCAAACUUCUGGACAACGUGUCUGCCACCACGUUUUCCGACCCCUUACGAAGCUGGAUUUCGAAGUUGUAGCCCUGGAGCAAUAACGACCACCGCGCCAAUCGUCCGGACAAGUCCUUUAGCGACAUUAGUCAUUUUAGGUUGGCGUGGUCUGUUAUGACAGUGAAUAGCAUGAGUUCGAUGUACGGCCGAAACUUUUGCACCGCCAGGACCGCCGCUAGGCAUUUCUUCUCCGUCACGGAAUAGUUGCUCUGGUGUUGAACUUGGCCGAAAAGAAAGCUAUUGGUCUCUCAAUCUGCUCGUCGCCUAGCUGGAAUAGCACCGCUCCGACGCCCGCCUGCGACGCAUCGCACUGCACGAAAAAUUCGGCAUGCACGAGUACCGGCGCCGUAAUCAACGACCUCUUCAGGGCCUCGAAUGAAUCCCUGGCCUCGAAUGAAUCCCUGGCCUCAUCAUUCAACGCGAACCGUCCUCCGGCUCGUUUCUUCAGUGCAUCAGUAAGCGGCGCGGCCACGCUAGAAAACUCGCUCUGGGUCCGUUCUCAAUGUGCCUCCUCCCAAAAUACACCCGAGGUAGUCCAUGUGUGUCCCGAAGUUCGCCGCGAAUAUGACGAGGUCAUCCAAAUACACCUUGACGUUUGACCUGAGCUCUGUGGGAAUGACCCUGUCCAUCAGCCGGCAUAAUCUCUGCGCCGCGUUACACAGGCCAAAUGGCAUCACUCGGAAUUGGUACAGCGGUCGCCCAGGCACUGGAUUCGUCCAAUUCAAUUUGCCAGAAUGAGAACUUCAAAUCGACGCUGGAAAUAUAGAAAGUUUGAUCCAGCCCCGAUAAUAUAAGUGGAUACGCGUCUUUAACCGUGAGUUUGUUGAGCUUUCGGGCAUCGAGGCAAAAGCGGUUCUUGACCGGCCGUCGCACUACGGCCAACAUAUUAUCAACCUCCCGACACACCAGCUCCUGCAUCGCGGGUGACAAUGGGUCCCACAUUUCCGGCUCUGGUUUCGGGUCUUCGUCAUCGACGUAAUGCGCAACUCGCUCAGCCAAAAUCUCAUCUACGCAGCUUUUAGCGAUGCCAGUUUCACGUGGAGGAAUAACCGCUGGUGCCAACUCAAAAAUUCGCCAGAAAUCGAUUCCCAGGUACAUAGUACAUACUUUUGUACGCGUAUAUCCAGCUCCUGCAGCAAUCGCCGACUAUUUUUACCAAGAAUGCUCACCGAAGCCCAGCAGACCUCGUAUCUAGCGGCCCUUCACCUUGACCUCGGCAAACACUCUAGUUGCUUCCGCAACUUGUCACUUCGUUUGACGCCUCUUCUUAAACCGCGCCCUCGCCUUCACAAAGCGGGUGGUGAGCAUCCGCAUUCCGGCGACCUGGUGCUGUUGAAAUAUCCUGUUUCGCGCCUCUAGUUUCGACUUCCCGCUGAUGGUGUGAUCGCAGGUGCCGAGCGCGAUUCGCCCUCCGCCGCCCGUUUCCCGUACAGCUCGGACACUGCGUACUAUACGUGUCUGGUCGGCCACAGCGCUAACAAAAUAUACGCCGCUCUCGCGCCAUGCAAUCGCGGAAACCAUGCCCCGCUUGGCCACAAUUCCAGCAAUUUAGCUGCAGCUGUACACGCCUGGUGACUCGCGCCUCUUCCACGGCUACGUCUUCUGCUGCAUCAGGGCCUCCAAAAUCUAUCUCCAACUCGUCUACGGGCCUGGUUCGCCCACUGGGACCAGCCCUAAAGCCACUGCGGUAUGCAGGCGUUCCCUCUUGCCGCUCCAUUGUUGCAUCCGCUCCGCGAAGAUGGUCCACGCUAUACACACGAAAUUCGCUUGGUGGUGAUUGCAAACGUGAUGCUAGCUUCCUCAUGGCGUGAAAGAAGUCCUCGACGCUUUCUGUGGCCUUCUGUCGCCUCUCGCGCAACUCCUGCAUCCGCUGGAACUCAUCGGCAGCGCCUCUAAACCGAGCGAUCAGGCUAUGCUUCAAUUCCUGCCAGCUAUCGGCCCUAUGGUCACGCACAUAGUGACAGUACCACUCUCUCGCGUUGCCGCCCACCAAUAGAUGGAAAUUGUUCAAAACUUCAGCCCAGGAACAUCUGCACUGCCGCUGUAGAAACUCCACACGAAAAACAAAAUCUUCCACAGCCAUUUUAUGCCUGUCGCCAUCAAGUGAUAGGCCCCAUUUUUCAACUCGGCCCCAAGGCGACCUUUCGUUACCUUGCACGUAUGGUGGGGGUGGAUCAGCCUGCAGCGCAUCAU